GGUGUAAAUUUAAAAUAAAAUGGUCCAACCGCGGCCGGAACGACAGACUAAAACGGGAAGAAGAAGAAGCCCUCAAGCGGAUAGAUAGAUACCUUCGGUGUCCUGUCAACAAAAGUAAACAAAAGACGUUGUCAGCCGUCUGAGGGACUACUCGUACGCGUCCCGUACUUCAGGUACUCUCGGAGCGGAACGUACGUACACCGGGAAACCAGCUGCAUUUUUCUCCUUGUACGUGUCCGUCAAUGAUCGAGAGCGAGUGCACCAGAGAAUGGAUGUGGGAGACAUUUUGAAGUGCCACGUGUGUCUCGGUAGCUAUAAUGAUAGUUCCCAUCGCCCUUUACUCUUGCCAGCCUGUGGACAUACAUUCUGUGCUUCUUGCUUAGAAAAUCUGCAAAAACAGUCAAGAGUUAGCUGUCCUGAAUGCAGGAAGCCCAAUGCCAUCCAAGCAGUAUCUUCACUGCCUGUGAAUUAUGUAGUGCUUAACUUAGAGCAGGCAAAACAGGAGAAGCAAAGUAAUCUUCAAGAUAGAGCAGAGGACGUACCUGUACCACAGCAUAGAUCUCAACCUUCGAGUAGGAGAUGCUCCGAUCCACCGCCUGUAGAUGUUAUGAGUGCUAGUCCCUUGCGACACCUGAGAAGGUCAGGUAGUACAAGUGGCCGUACGGAGUAUGUUUUCCAAUCCCCUGAAAGACCAGGAAAUCCACCACAUCACAGGUCUCAAGCAGAGGCCCUUAGAUUGAGUCCCUCUCGUCAGCUAAGAAGAACAGCAAGUGCCAGAAGUGAUCAGUACCCUCAGCAGAUGUUUGGACUAUCUGCAGAGGCUUAUGGCAUGAGCCCACCACGACCACUGAGAAGGUCGGCUAGCAUUCGCAGUGACUGUAGCGAACACACCCAACAUUUGCCAGGAGUGCCUAGGAUGCUUGAUAGAAGGCAUCCAGUUACACAUGCUUUGGCAGGGAGUACAGUGGUAAAUACAAGAGGCUGCCCUCAGGCUUACCGAGGUACAGUGACAGAGGAGAAUGAGAGGUGUGCGAGAGAGCUUCAGGAGGAGCUCGACUUCCAGAUGGCUGUGCAUUUGACAUUUUGUAAGACUGAUCACUUAACAACUUCUUCAGAACGUCAAUCACGGCCACGAUGAUGGUGCCAUAUGUGCCGCUCGCCGAUGGCAGUACCCAGAAGAUGAAGAUUUGAGAACAGCUUUGCUCUUGUCUCGAGUUAAUCUGAAUUAAUUGUACAUACUUUAUAUCAGCCUCAAGCUUCAAAGGACAACCUCAGGGCUGGUAUCUUCAUAUAGUAUUUCACCUUACCCAGAAGUACCAUAUUAUGUCGGUUGCUCUCAAACUUCAGCAGAAGAAGUAGAAUCAUCAGUGUCAGAGUAUUUUGGUCAUGAUAAUACUACAGUUGAUAGAAUUUUCGUUUUCUAGAAUUCCCAGAUAGUAAUCUAACUGGGCCAACUUGGUGAUGGGGACUUAAUUUUGAACUGCUUAAUGUAGCAGAAAGAAGGAUGCCAUCAGAGAAGUGAACAGUGCCUUUUUCAGUUCCUAAACUUUAACUAUAUGCUGUGGUGAUGAAUGGAAGGUCAGUUAUGUUUCUCUCAUGGUUCUCACUUGACAGGGGGAACUGUUUGUUUGUUUGUUUGUUUGUUCGUUUGUAUGGUGUUUUUACAUUGCAAGGGGAACUGUUGCUGCAGUGCUGUGUUGGUGUCAUGUACGUGCACUGACUACAGGCCGUAUUGCUGUGACAUUACUUGUAAAAACUUAUUGUUUCAUGGAUAUUUUAAUAACUCUAUUUUUUCAACUGAGCUGGAAAGAGUCAAAUCUUUGUGCUUGGACAGGAUUAUAAUUAUUUAGGAACAAAGCUUGGCACUGAACUACUAGUAGCUUGUGAUCAAUGUUUUUUAUGGUGAGUAAGCUAAGGUUAACUGGGAACUUUUACCUACUUCCAAACCUCUCAGGCUAGCACUUCGAGUUGUUUUCAGCUCGAUGGACUAGUUAGAUUAGUUUUGUCAAUGUAAUCCUUCAUCUGCAGUCUUUCAGAUAGUUUGGCACAGGCAGAUACUAAUUCAUCAAUUUCCCAAAAUGUUAAGGAAAGAGUUGGUCAACUCUACAAUGGCAGUUGGGCUGGGAUGGAAGUCAAGCGAAACAGAAUUCAAUUAUUGGACAGGAGUCAUAAAUUUGCUUGUAGCUCGAGAUUGACAACCAUACUCCCAUCUUUCUUUUGGGUCAACCACUUUAGUUUUCCAUCUUGAAAAAGGUAAAUUAAAAAUAGAUGUUCACAUCCUCAAGACCCCAGUUCAUCUAGACUCAUUAUUCUCUUUGGUGCUAGGUGUUUGGCUUUAAACUCUUCCUUGUUUUAUUUCCGAGUUGGUUGUAGAAGUUGUUGAUGAUGAAAAGAAAUUUUUCUUUGUUCAAUACUUUUCAUAUUGGUUUGCUUCUUUUCAAAAUACUUUUUUGUAGGAACCACUGACCUGUGCUGUAAAUUUUAGUUUUUCGGCCUUUUCAAAUUGUUUCUAUUGAGAUUGAGAGGGAAGUAUCAGUUUGAUUACCAUGUACUGUAAUGGUAAAUCACCAUGAUACUUUGUCUGUGCAAUUUUUUUAAAAUCCUUGAUGUUUUAGUGGUUUGAUCUGUUAGUGACAUUAGUGUAUGAUAAAUAUCAUCAAACAUUGUAGGUUGUGCUAUUUUGCCCUCAGGUUAAUAUUUGAGAAGUAGAAUGUGAUUUGUUCCCCAUUCAACAGCAUUUAAUAAGCUAGUGCUAUGAAAUAUGGCUAUUGUUAGCUUUCAGUUGGAAGACCAUGGAUUACAUGAUGCCAAAUACUAAGUUUGUUUUAAGGAAUCUGUUCUUUCAGAUAGCAUUUUUAAAUGCUGAUUUUUAAGGUAUACAAGAAAUAGUUAACCCAAAUUUGUUAACGUACUGUUAGUCUAGGUUUUCCAGUUCCUUUGUGUUAGUAAUAUGCUCUUAUGAGCUUUGGUACUAGAAUAAACAAGAUUAAAAUUUCAAUAAAGUGGGUAAGGCAGGUUGAAAAGUAUAGUGCUUAGUUCAUUAAACUUCAUUAACCUGAUUGAAGAAUUUUAUAAGGAAAAAAAUUACAUGGUUGAUGUACUUUGACAUGAAGAAUUAGCUUAAGGUGUGCUCUGCAAAAAAAAAAAUAUAUAUAUAUACAAAUCCCAAAAGUAUUUAUUCUACACAAUACUGCAUUCAUGGGUAUUGUUUGGGUGCUCAUGUCUAGCAGCAACUUUUUACCAAACAACUGCAAGAAAAGUUACUUAAGAGACUUUAAAAUGCUUAAACAUGUCACUAUGAAAAUACAUUAUAGGUUGGACACUUGAGGUGAAUUCUUUAAAAUAUAUUAUCUAUAAUUGUUUUUUGUUGCCUUGCUUUCUGACUUCUCCUCCACUCCCUUUAUUCUUUUUAUUUUAGGUCUUUCUAGCCUGAUUGUUAUCCAUUUCCAUUGGUCUGUUCCCAGCUGUGUCCAACUUUGUUAGCUUUACAUUGCUGCUAUAAUGUUCAUCUCCUCUUCAAGAAAAAUUCCCUUGUGGGUUUUGCUUAACAACAGUGCCAUAUCUUGGAGUGAAAGCAAACUAAAUUAUAGAAUUCUUUUGGCUAGCUCCCCCCACCCAAAAUAGUAAAGAUAUUAACCUUGGUAUGGUGAAAACACUGGUCCGAGCACCUUGUCAAAAUUUAUCUAAUUACUGGUGAGUGUAGGUUUAGUCAUACUGUUUUAUUUAUAAGUUUUGUUGUUCCUUCAUAGCACACCUCCCAUUGGUUGCUUGUUGGUCACACCAACCAAAUCACCAAUACAACAGCACAUAGACUAGUGUAAAAUGCAACUAACGGGGUCACGAGUUAAAGAGGGGUAUGUAGGUGGCUCCACAUGUCUCAUGACCAAGGACAGAUGCCAAUAGUCCCUUGCGUACACAAUUAUUUUAAACUUUACCAGUUUCCAGCUGACGCUGAGUAUUUAUCCUAAUGUUAAGACCUCAGGUUUGUAAGUUAUGAAAAAUACAAAUUGGUAAAAAAUUUUUUUUUUUUUUUUUUUUUUUUUUUUUUUUUUUUUUUUAUUGUUACCUACAAUGAAGAAUGCUAAUUAAGAAUUUUGGAGCUGAAAUAUUUAUUAAAGACUUAACAUAGACAAUUCAUUUUAGUUCCUGUUCUUACUUUCAAGUUUUCAGUAUUUUUCUCUGCUUUCUUUUACCUAAUCACUACUUUGAUACUACUUAUUUUGUACUCUUUUUGCCAACAAUUUUUUUUUUUUAAGUGAAAACUGUAUGUCUUGUUUUAAGCUUGAAGGAAUAAUGAAAUGUUUAAAUAACCUACAUUCUCCUUUUCUGAUACUGUAAAAGAAUUGCAUUUAAGAAAACUAACUUACUGUAAUAGAUGCUACUCUUAUUUACAGUACUAAUCAAAAGUUAAACCAUUUGAACCAGCUGUUAAAAAGUUUACAUUUUAGCUAGGUGAUCUGGUUAAACAUUUAGUUUUAAAAGAUAAUUGAAGAUAGCACCACUUUCUCAGCAGAGUGAGCCUACGUAUAUGUAUGACAUGAUUUGUUAAUUAAAUUUACAAUAUAGUUUUCUAAAAUUAUAUAUAUGAGGUCUAGGAAAACAAGGUGUACAUGUGUGCGAGUGAUGCAGUGCUUAGCUCAUUUGAGCUAGUCUGUGAAUCACUCUUGGGCUACCACCUAUCAAUCUAGCCAAAUGGUUAAUUGAUAGCAGCUCUUUGUAAGGUAAAGAAAAGGAUAUGGGGCUAGCCACUUCAUCCCUGAAGACUUGCUGAUAAUCCAGAAAGCAUACCACGAUUUAAAUUACAAAUACAACUCUCUUCAGAUUAUCAAAUAAUCUUAGUAUUACUUGAUUUCCUAAAGAUUUCUAUUUACUAUAAGUAUAUUGUAUUUGAAAUUUCUGUGAAAAAAUACCAGUAAUUGUUUUUGUUUGCUGGUGUUGAUGGUAUGCCAUGAGCUUCUUGUACGCUAAAUAUUCUAUACAGCAUAAGGUGUGAUCAGAAAGUUAUGAGACUAUUUCAACCUAUAAUGAUUAAAAGAUGUGCUUGAUUCAGACUUUGCUGCCAUCCUUCAAAGCAGUCAAUUGUGCAGCAACAGCGCUUCUACCUCACUUGGAAUGCUCCUAGGAAGCCUCUAUAACUGUCAAGCACCAUCUUUGAUUUCUCCUGUAUCUCCUAUAUGGUGUCAAAGUUGGAGCUGGGAAACGACAUUGCCAAAUUUGGCUCACUGCCACUUCUCCUUCUUCCGUAAGAUGGAGAUCGGACCGAAAGGUUACUGUUUUGACACCGUGGAAAUCAUCACAAAUUGCAGAUAGUGUUUGACUCAGAUAUUGCAACUUGCUGAGAACUUUCCAACCAUUGCAGAAAUACUGGGUGUAGUAUAUCACUGCCUAUAGUUUUUUGCUCUUUAUAGCCAUAGUCUCAUAAGUUUUUGAACACACUUCACAGCAUGCCAAAUUUAAUUUGUAUCACAGCAUAUUUGGUUCGAUUGAUUAACACUUUUUUUCAGCUUUGUAGUUUUAAUGUACUAGAUGUCUUUAAUUUUUAUUUUUCAAACAAAAAUAGUAUCCGGUUUUAUAAUGUUUCACGUUUCAAUAAUAUUCAUGGAGAGCUUCUAGAAGUGAAUGCAUAUUACUUUACUUGAUAGUCGAGAAGUAACCUCACUGUGUAAGUUUUUAACAUUUGUAGCAGCACAAAGCCUCGAUAUAUUGUUGCAUAAUGUUUUUCUUUACUCAGAACCUUUCAUUAAUAAGUAAGGAAUCUAAGAUUAGAAGUAUUCUGUGAUGCAAAUUUUGCUUCUAUUAUUUGUAGGGACAUUUCCUGUACAUAUACAAAGGACAGGAACAUCUCAUUGUAUUGUAUGACUUGAUAUCUAUGAGGAUUUUCUUGAGCAGAGAACUUUAGCACAUAUAAUGCAUCAUAUGUAAAUUAUGAUAAUUUCAGAAUUAAGGUGUCAUUUAAAUCAUUUAUGGAUUAUUUUUGUGAGAAAAAACUUAUUGAAGUGAUUCUUGUAAUAGCAACAUUGAAGGCAUUGUGAUUGGUAUAUAGGGAAUUGUUGAUGCACUUCUGUACAUUUUGAUUACAGGGUAGUAGAGUUUCUAUAUACUAGCCAUGGUAUUCUGUUGUAAAACUGUAUAUUACAAGCCACUAACCAUAAGAUGCCUUAUUCUUUGUGGAAGUAAUCUCAGUUGCACUAUUGUCUUGAAAAGCACAUUGCAUCCAGAUGGCCUCAUAUCACACCUCACAUCCAUACUUGUCAAGAUUGUGGAUUGGGACAUAGACCAAUGGUUCAAAUUUGUACUGAGAGUGAGCACAUUAGCACCAAGGCCCUAAAACUACUGGAGUGUCUUCAGACUUCAGCUGGCAACAGGUCACUGCUGUCCUAAUGCCUCUCCCAUUAUGGAAGAGCUAUUCUGCCACUGCUGAAGAAGGCACAAGGCACAUAACAUAAGCCAGUGACUUGUUUGUUAGCUGCCUUGGUAACGGGAUGAUUAUUUUUAAUUCUGAAUGCUGAAAAGUUUAGUGCAGCAAUAGUAUACUAUGUUUUGUCAACUGAAACUCUACCUGUGUUGGUGGUAUAGGUACAAAUAAAUAGUGAAAUGGAAAAUAUUAUGUCUGCUUAUAAACGGACCAAUGGUAUAGAAUGUAACUGUGAAUGCUUAGUAAAGUUUAGUGACAGUUUAUCUGUGCUUUUGUAUUUAAAGUUAUCAUGCCUCUUAACAUACAUAUUUCAUUUUCUUUUUUGUAGAUUUGUGAACUGUUUGUGAUAUUGUAUAUUUUCAGAAGUUACUUGUUAAAGCAAAUUAUAGAUAAUGCAUAUUUA
Macrobrachium nipponense is the source of this 6818-nucleotide RNA transcript. RefSeq lists it as uncharacterized. The record is from RefSeq and is a predicted model, not a curated record. The transcript has 6 exons. Lineage: Eukaryota; Metazoa; Arthropoda; Malacostraca; Decapoda; Palaemonidae.